GGGGUUGUAGCUCAGUGGUAGAGUGCUUGUCUUGCACAUGUGAGGAACUGAGUUCAAUCCUCAGCACCA
Non-coding RNA from Ictidomys tridecemlineatus (thirteen-lined ground squirrel), 69 nucleotides. The record is from Rfam. Lineage: Eukaryota; Metazoa; Chordata; Mammalia; Rodentia; Sciuridae.